Regulatory RNA element from Fermentimonas caenicola, 68 nucleotides. It matches the Rfam family "DUF805 RNA". The record is from Rfam. Lineage: Bacteria; Pseudomonadati; Bacteroidota; Bacteroidia; Bacteroidales; Dysgonomonadaceae.
GCAUAAUGGAGCGAGAGACCAUUUCAAAAAACCGCGUUAGUCCGAAAAACGAUAAAAGUAGGAUAAAC